GAUGAAGAACGUAGCGAAAUGCGAUACUUGGUGUGAAUUGCAGAAUCCCGUGAACCAUCGAGUCUUUGAACGCAAGUUGCGCCCGAAGCCGUCAGGCCGAGGGCACGCCUGCCUGGGCGUCACACGCCGUUGCCCCCCCGCGCCCCGCACCCAACUCUUUGGGAGCGACCGCGGGGCGGGCUGAUGAUGGCCUCCCGUGCGCUCCGCCGCGCGGUUGGCCCAAAUACCGAGUCCCCGGCGACGUGCGCCACGACGAUCGGUGGUUGAGAGACCUCUGUCGCAAGUCGUGCGCGCCCGUCGCGUCACGCGGGCUCGCAUAGCGCCUCGCGCCGCACCCGGUGCGGAGCUUUCAACGCGACCCCAGGUCAGGCGGGGUUACCCGCUGAAUUUAAGCAUAUCAAUAGCGGAGGA
Molecule: unclassified non-coding RNA, 411 nt
Filed under: soil metagenome
Description: partial contains 5.8S ribosomal RNA, internal transcribed spacer 2, and large subunit ribosomal RNA
Rfam family: 5.8S ribosomal RNA (bases 1-122)
Source: RNAcentral